Molecule: ribosomal RNA, 2313 nt
Filed under: Triticum aestivum (bread wheat)
Lineage: Eukaryota; Viridiplantae; Streptophyta; Magnoliopsida; Poales; Poaceae
Description: partial small subunit ribosomal RNA
Source: RNAcentral
AUGGGCGGCGCCACCGGCAUGGUCGUGCUCAUGGUGACAAUAAUUCCGGCGGCGUUGCUGCAUAUGGUAUCGGCCGGUGGCACGCCGCCCUUCUCGUGCUGGCCGGGGGCGCCGUACGUCCGCUUCUGCGACCAGCGGGUGCCGGUCGAGCAGCGCGCGGCGGACCUGGUGGCGCGGCUGACGCUGGCGGAGAAGGUGUCGCAGCUGGGGGACGUGGCGGCGGCGGUGCCGCGGCUGGGCGUGCCGGCGUACAAGUGGUGGUCGGAGGGGCUGCACGGGCUGUCCAUGUGGGGCAAGGGCAUGCACUUCACCGGCGCCGUCAAGCAAGUGACCAGCUUCCCGCAGGUGCUGCUCACCACCGCCUCCUUCGACGAGAAGAUCUGGUACUUCAUCGGCCAGGCGAUCGGCGUGGAGGCGCGGGCGUUGUACAACAUCGGGCAGGCGGAGGGGCUCACCAUCUGGUCGCCGAACGUGAACAUCUACCGGGACCCGCGGUGGGGGCGCGGCCACGAGACCCCCGGCGAGGACCCGAUCACGGUGAGCAAGUACGCCGUCGCCUUCGUGAGGGGCCUGCAGGGGCCCUCGCCGACGACGCUGCAGACCUCGGCGUGCUGCAAGCACGCCACCGCCUACGACCUGGACGACUGGCGCGGCACCGUCCGCUACAGCUUCAACGCCAGGGUGAGCCCCCAGGACCUGGCCGACACCUUCAACCCGCCGUUCAGGAGCUGCGUGAGCGAAGGGCAGGCCAGCUGCGUCAUGUGCGCCUACACCUCCGUCAAUGGCGUCCCCGCCUGCGCCGACUACAACCUCCUCACCAAGACGUUCAGGGGGGAAUGGGGGUUGAAGGGGUACGUGGCCUCCGACUGCGACGCGAUCGCGCUGGUGCACGACGGGCAGCACUUCAGGCCCACGCCGGAGGACACGGUGGCCACCACGCUCAAGGCCGGGAUGGACAUGAACUGCGGGAACUACACGCAGGUGCACGGCAUGGCCGCGCUCCGGCAGGGGAAGAUGACGGAGCGGGACGUGGACAAGACGCUCGUCAACCUCUUCUCGGUGAGGAUGCGGCUCGGGCACUUCAACGGCGACCCCCGGAGCAACCCGCUGUACGGGCACUUCGGCGCCAACGACGUGUGCUCUCCCGCCCACAAGAACCUGGCGCUCCAUGCGGCGGAGAGCGGCAUCGUCCUGCUCAAGAACGACGCCGGCAUCCUCCCGCUCCGCCGGUGGACGGUCGGGUCGGUCGCCGUCAUCGGCCCCAACGCCAACGACCCCGGGGCGCUCCUCGGCAACUACUUCGGCCCGCCGUGCGAGACCAUCACGCCGCUCCGGGGGCUCAACGGGUACGUGAAGGACGUGAGGUUCGAGCCCGGGUGCAUCGAUACGGCGUGUUGGUCCGCCGCGACGGGCAAGGCGGUGGCGGUGGCGAGGUCGACGGACCACGUGAUCCUGUUCAUGGGGACGAGCCACGUGCAGGAGGAGGAAGGGCGGGACAGGACGAGCCUGCUGCUCCCCGGGCAGCAGCAGAGCCUCAUCGAAGCCGUGGCCAGCGCGGCGAAACGGCCGGUGAUCCUGGUGCUCCUCACCGGCGGUCCGGUCGACGUGACGUUCGCGAAAUUCAACCCCAAGAUCGGUGCCAUCGUGUGGGCCGGAUACCCCGGGCAGGCCGGCGGGCUUGCCAUCGCCAAGGUGCUCUUCGGGGAGCACAACCCCAGCGGCAGGCUGCCGGUGACGUGGUACCCCGAGGAGUACAUGAGGGUGCCCAUGACGGACAUGCGGAUGCGCGCCGACCCGGCCACCGGCUACCCCGGCCGUACCUACCGCUUCUACCGGGGACCGACCGUCUACAAGUUCGGCUACGGCCUCAGCUACUCCAGGUUCUCCCGCCGGCUAGCAGCCUCAGGACUGGCCGGUCAUCAGAAGAGCCUGCUCGCCGGCCUGACCUCGACGGCAGCAGCGGACGGCGGCGCGAGCCACUACGACGUGGAGGAGGUCGGGGCCGAGAGGUGCGAACAGCUCAAGUUCCCGGCGGUGGUCGAGGUGGAGAACCACGGUCCCAUGGACGGAAAGCACUCGGUGCUGAUGUUCCUCCGGUGGCCCAACGCGACGGGUGGGCGCCCGGCGAGCCAGCUGGUUGGGUUCCAAAGCCAGCACCUCGAGGCCGGCGAGAAGGCUAGCCUGACGUUCGAUGUCAGCCCCUGCGAGCACUUGAGCAGGGCGAGGGAGGACGGCAAGAUGGUGAUCGACGGAGCCUCACACUUCCUCUUUGUUGACGAGGACGACGAGGCCGAGAUCAGCUUCGACGCCUGA